This 90-nucleotide ribosomal RNA is filed under the name Methylicorpusculum sp. Lineage: Bacteria; Pseudomonadati; Pseudomonadota; Gammaproteobacteria; Methylococcales; Methylococcaceae. The record is from RNAcentral.
ACCCGAUCCCAUCCCGAACUCGGCAGUGAAACCGCUUAGCGCCAAUGAUAGUGUGGCAGUUUGCCAUGCGAAAGUAGGGAAUCGCCAGGC